This 230-nucleotide ribosomal RNA is filed under the name uncultured microorganism. Its description in RNAcentral is "partial 16S ribosomal RNA". It matches the Rfam family "Bacterial small subunit ribosomal RNA", at positions 524 to 753 of the family's 1533-position model. The record is from RNAcentral.
UACGUAGGGCGCAAGCGUUGUCCGGAAUUAUUGGGCGUAAAGAGCUCGUAGGCGGUCUGUCGCGUCGGUUGUGAAAGCCCACAGCUUAACUGUGGGUCUGCAUCCGAUACGGGCAGACUAGAGGCAGGUAGGGGAGCAUGGAAUUCCCGGUGUAGCGGUGAAAUGCGCAGAUAUCGGGAGGAACACCGGUGGCGAAGGCGGUGCUCUGGGCCUGUACUGACGCUGAGGAG